Long non-coding RNA from Asparagus officinalis (garden asparagus), 3746 nucleotides. RefSeq lists it as uncharacterized. Lineage: Eukaryota; Viridiplantae; Streptophyta; Magnoliopsida; Asparagales; Asparagaceae. The record is from RefSeq and is a predicted model, not a curated record. The transcript is spliced from 5 exons.
GAUCCAUACUUACCUGGACGGGGUCCGUGGGUGAUCAAGGAGGCCCAGGCCUAGAUUAGUGGCCCACAUUGCACAUACAGUGGGUGCGCUGGUCUACCAUCUCCCCAAGCGGGAGAGUGGACGUCAUAAUUUGUUGCCGAGGGGGUACGCGUACGCGCGGCCCCCGCCCAAUUCAAUGCACAAAUAUUUGUUGAUUGCGUGUUUGGAACGAAAUUAAGUACACCAUAUGAGGUGUUCGACAAAAUGUCUGAACUGUACAUUUCAUGCAUGAGCACAGAGAGCACCACCUCAGUUUGAGAUUUGGAACUAUGAAGAAACUCUAGUCCCCCAAUGUUCAGUUCAGGAGGAAAUUCAGUGCAGCAUAUGAGGUGUUCGAUAAAAUGCCUGAAGCGUAUUCCGGUGGCUCUGCAAAGAAUUUCAUGCAUGAAUACUGAGAGCACAAGUGCAGUUUUUCAAUUUGAACCUUUGAGGAAGCUCUACUGUCCAAUUUCACGGGUAACCCAAGUGUUCUCCAUGUUUAAGAGAGAGAGAGAGAGAGGGAGGAAGGGAGGGGGGGAGGGAGAAGCAAAAGUUCAAUAUGUUGCAAAAUGUUGAUUGAAGGUGAUUUUGCAUCAUCUAUUGCAGCUGAAGAACAAACUAUUUAUGAUGAUGUAUUUCCAUUAAUGGAAUUCACAGAAUUCAGUUUCAAGAAGAAGUGAACAGUAACAGUGAACAUACACCUACGAUAUCCGCCUUCAGUCUCCUUGCUGAAGCUAGAAGCCCAGAGCAGCAAUAGCUAGAAGCAGAGCCAAUGAAGAAGGAAGAAGCCCCAUCUCUCUUUGUUUAAUGUGUGAUAAGCUAAGUUGCAUGGAUACAAGUAUUGGUACGGGUAUAUGGGGCACAACAAAUUUGUAAAAGAUAGGUUACAGGGACACGGCUAUAUAUAUGUAUGUAUGCAUAUUUAUAUAUAUAUAUUAAAAUUAACAAUUUACAUAAGAUCAAUAUUGUUUUCUCAUUUACAUGAGAUCAAUAUAUAAGAAAUAGAUGUGAAGUGUAGAAUAUAUGUCCAAGUGCAUGAGAACGCCUGAAUAAACCUAUGCAUAUAUGUAAGAAGUGUCCAAGAAGUUUGGUAUGGAACACGUACGUGUCCAAUACGGGUACUACUCCGGAAUAAAAAUACCAAGGUAGCAUAGGUGAUAAGUCCCCACAUUAGAUCAAAAAAUGGACGAGAUAUAGCAUAUUUCUUGAUUUUUUUUUUUCUUUUUCUUAUUUGGGUGUCUUGUUGUUUUGUUGAAUAGCGCAAACUUUGUUUCUUCUAUAGAAAAAAGGUAGGGCCUUGAAGGUUUAUUGUAUGUGUAAUUGGUACGUAUGUGUUAAAUAUAAAAAAGGAGCAUAUGUGAUUUGUUAAUUUUCCAUUAGAAGUACAACAUCUAAAGUCAUAAGUGACAUUUAAGGUUUAGAUAUACAGGUUACCGGGUUGAUGGGUAACCGAUUAAAUUUGGAUUGCAUAUGGCGGCAACUGCAAAUGAAUCAAACCGCUUGCUCUUUUCAUCAUCCAGAUUAAGACCAUGUCCAUUCCACCAAUUUCUUGUUCAUUUCCGUAGGUGUUAUUGCCUUUGUCACAAACUUUCUAAUCUAAGAUGCCCAAUUCCUUAAAUUGCCAGAUUAAACCACAUUUAGGAAGAAAUUUAGGAAGAAAUUGACCGCAGCAGAUGAGGAGUCCAACAAAAUUUCUGAACGGUAUUCCUACAGCUCUUCCUUACAUUUCAUUCAUGAACACAGAGAGCACAAGUUCAUCUUUAAGUUGGAGCAAUGAGGGAAAUCUAGCUUCUAGUUACACAGGUAAUCAAAAUAACAUUUUCAACUAUGCUUGCUUCAUUUAUUUGCUGUAAUUACUAUUGUUGUUAUUAUUACUGUCAUCAAAUUUUAUGAUUUUAUGUAAUUCUUUCUGCUUUUUACCUUGUACUGAAAAGAAAACAAGAAGCAGACCCUUUCAGUUUCUCAGAGUCAGAGGCUCAGAUGAAAGCAUUUAUACAACAAAAAAGAGAACUUUAUUCAAUAUAAUCAUUUUUGUGACCAAAAUAACCAGCUUCUCUUGAAGGUUUUAUGAAUUCAUAGUCUUCUACACACAUCAGUACUGCUGAUGAUACAUUCCCUGAACCACUUCUCUGUAUGUGGAUGUCAUCAUUCUUCUUGUUCUUUGUGAGGAAAUUGGCAUACCAAUGUGUAGAGCGCUUUGGUUGCCUCUUGCGCUCUACAUCAUCAAAAUCCACAUAGUACAGGCCAGAGCCUGAUUCCCAGCCCAACAAAAGUUCGAAAAGGUCUACAAAUGACCGCACGAAGCACCCUUUCACAUUUGCUCCUUCCAACAUGAGCAAAAGAAGGAAAAAAAGCAAUAUCAAAUUGAUUAAUAUACUUUAUUGGUCUGCUCUCAUGGAUGCAAGUAUGUGGAUAGGCUAGUCUGGCAGUUAUACCAAAAGCCACCUAUAUAUAAUAGAUAAUUUUAGUUGUAGACUUGUAGUAAUAAUAGGCCUUAAAUGAAAAAUAAAAAAUCAUGGUUUUGCAUUCACUACUGUAAAUCUUUUCAACACGCAGUAUAUGCUUUAUGAACAUCUGCUAUCUAUUACAGAAGAGAUGUGUGAUUGUGUUAAGAGGAUGCGUUUGAUUGUCGCUCUUGCACAAGGUUCAUGUGCAUUCUGAUGGAAUGAAGAGGACGAUUACCAUUCUUUUGGAUGUAAACGGGUGGAUUUCCUUUAUCUUUUAAAGCCCAGGUGGAUCGCUGUUUAUGUCAGCUGGGAUGAACUGGUAAUAUUAGCUAAUGCUAGUGUAUCAUGCCAAAAGAUGAACUUACAAAUAGCCAAAUGAUGUAAGAUGAUGUCAAACUUUUGCCAGACGAGGUUGUGCAUCUGUAUUUUUCUUAGACUCUUCAACAGAUGUGACCAUUGGUUUGUAGAGUUAGAGACUAUUAUUGUCCAUAUAAUCCAAAAACCUAUUAAGAAUGAGAAACAAAACUGGUAACUAUGGAAAACGUGUCUGCAGGGAAGUCGCGAAGGCCAGAGAUAGGACCAUGGGAGUUGUCCUUGACAUAUGCUGAUGUGUAGUGGUUCAAUCCAAUAAAGUCAAAUGAACACUUCUGUUCUGAUCUUCCUUUGGUGAAAGAUGGAAGUCCUCUGACCGGCAAUUUUCUUCAUGAUCUCUCUCCCCAAACACUACCGGUUGAUAAUCCUUGAACAAAGUAGUUCUUUAGACAGGAUAACUCAAGACUGGAAGUAUGUUAUACAACGUCAUGCACUUACCAUCCAACCAUAAAUCCAUUACCCUUCGAGUUGCCUCAACAUCGGCAGAGGAAUUUGAAAAAGGAGAGAACCAAAAGGUAUAGCCAUUCAAGCCUACGCAACCCUUCUACAUAGCCUGCAUACGAAGCUACAACAGUAUGAGAAUGUUUUGUCUGCAUUCAAAGUAAUGGGAUAAAACUGAAAAGGGGUGUAGAAUGUGAAGACUUGAUAUUUGGUUUGAUAUAGGUUGACAACUGCCGAAUGAGCUAAGAGCAUGUUGCGAACUGCAAUAUAAAGGCUCCAAUGUAGAAUUCCCUGCUGAGCAAAAAUUAGCUCCAAAAGGAUAAGAACAGCAGUGCGGUGGAAAAAUUCCAGUGUCAUAGGAUGCUUGGGCUAUUAUAUUGGGUCCGACAAUCAUAGUCCAGUGAGAAACCCUAUCUCCGAAUUCUCUGUGCAUAUUGUUUGGUGGAAAAUUUGUAAUAAGAAAAAUAA